This 460-nucleotide ribosomal RNA is filed under the name uncultured bacterium. RNAcentral's name for it is "partial 16S ribosomal RNA". It matches the Rfam family "Bacterial small subunit ribosomal RNA", at positions 338 to 795 of the family's 1533-position model. The record is from RNAcentral.
CCUACGGGGGGCAGCAGUGAGGAAUAUUGGUCAAUGGGCGCGAGCCUGAACCAGCCAAGUCGCGUGAAGGAUGACUGCCCUACGGGUUGUAAACUUCUUUUAUCAAGGAAUAAAGUGAGCCACGUGUGCCUUUUUGUAUGUACUUUAUGAAUAAGGAUCGGCUAACUCCGUGCCAGCAGCCCCGGUAAUACGGAGGAUCCGAGCGUUAUCCGGAUUUAUUGGGUUUAAAGGGAGCGUAGAUGGGUUGUUAAGUCAGUUGUGAAAGUUUGCGGCUCAACCGUAAAAUUGCAGUUGAUACUGGCAGCCUUGAGUACAGUUGAGGUAGGCGGAAUUCGUGGUGUAGCGGUGAAAUGCUUAGAUAUCACGAAGAACUCCGAUUGCGAAGGCAGCUUACUAAACUGCCACUGACAUUGAUGCUCGAAAGUGUGGGUAUCAAACAGGAUUAGAUACCCGAGUAGUC